AACGAACGCUGGCGGCGUGGAUAAGACAUGCAAGUCGAACGGGAUAUUUUUGUAGCAAUACCGAAAUGUUCAGUGGCGAACGGGUGCGUAACACGUGGGUAACAUGCCGGGAAGAGGAGAAUAGCCCAGGGAAACUUGGAUUAAUGCUCCAUGUGGUCGCAAGACUAAAGACGGGGUAACCUGUCGCUUCCUGAUUGGCCCGCGGCCUAUCACCUAGUUGGCGAGGUAACGGCUCACCAAGGCAACGACGGGUAGCUGGUCUGAGAGGAUGACCAGCCACACUGGAACUGAGACACGGUCCAGACACCUACGGGUGGCAGCAGUCGAGAAUCUUUCACAAUGGGGGCAACCCUGAUGGAGCGACGCCGCGUGGAGGAUAAGGUCUUCGGAUUGUAAACUCCUGUCAUGCGAGAGUAAGGCCCCGCGUUAACUGCGUGUGGGAUUGACAGUACCGCAAGAGGAAGAGACGGCUAACUCUGUGCCAGCAGCCGCGGUAAUACAGAGGUCUCAAGCGUUGUUCGGAAUUACUGGGCGUAAAGGGUGCGUAGGCUGCGCAGAAAGUCAGGUGUGAAAUCCAGGAGCUCAACUUCUGAAUUGCACCCGAUACUCCUGUGCUAGAGGAUUGGAGAGGAGCUUGGAUUCUCGGUGUAGCAGUGAAAUGCGUAGAGAUCGAGAGGAACACUAGUGGCGAACGCUGGGCUCUGGACAUAUCUGACGCUGAGGCACGAAAGUCAAGGGAGCAAACGGGAUUAGAUACCCGGGUAGUCCUGACAGUAUACGGUGCACGCUUGGUGUGGAAGUGACCCCUUCCGUGCCGAGCUAACGCGACAGCGUGC
Molecule: ribosomal RNA, 836 nt
Filed under: uncultured bacterium
Lineage: Bacteria
Description: bacterial SSU rRNA
Rfam family: Bacterial small subunit ribosomal RNA
Source: RNAcentral